RNAcentral lists this ribosomal RNA (460 nucleotides) under uncultured bacterium. RNAcentral's name for it is "partial 16S ribosomal RNA". It matches the Rfam family "Bacterial small subunit ribosomal RNA", at positions 338 to 795 of the family's 1533-position model. The record is from RNAcentral.
CCUACGGGAGGCAGCAGUGAGGAAUAUUGGUCAAUGGACGAGAGUCUGAACCAGCCAAGUAGCGUGAAGGAUGACUGCCCUAUGGGUUGUAAACUUCUUUUAUAUGGGAAUAAAAUGUUCCACGUGUGGGAUUUUGUAUGUACCAUAUGAAUAAGGAUCGGCUAACUCCGUGCCAGCAGCCGCGGUAAUACGGAGGAUCCGAGCGUUAUCCGGAUUUAUUGGGUUUAAAGGGAGCGUAGGUGGAUUGUUAAGUCAGUUGUGAAAGUUUGCGGCUCAACCGUAAAAUUGCAGUUGAGACUGGCAGUCUUGAGUACAGUAGAGGUAGGCGGAAUUCGUGGUGUAGCGGUGAAAUGCUUAGAUAUCACGAAGAACUCCGAUUGCGAAGGCAGUUCACUGGACUGCAACUGACACUGAGGCUCGAAAGUGUGGGUAUCAAACAGGAUUAGAUACCCUAGUAGUC